UCAGCCCCGGACUUCUCCAGCCUGAACAUGAAGCUUCAAGAUGCCGUGCUAACACCAUCAGUGCACAGAAAAAAUCAUAGAGGAGCUGUAUCAGGCUAUGAUUUGCUGCACUCUAUAUCCCACUGCCAAGUUUUAUUCCAAGGUGGCCAGCCUACUUGUGUCUGAGCACAGUAACUUGGCCGACACUAAGGGCAGUGGCUAUGACUCUUGGGUUAUAGGCUUAAGGAACAAGUUCAAAAAUGAGCGGCGCAAGUUGUCUAACAACGAAGUGGUAGAACAA
Long non-coding RNA from Ornithodoros turicata, 280 nucleotides. RefSeq lists it as uncharacterized. The transcript is spliced from 3 exons. The record is from RefSeq and is a predicted model, not a curated record. NCBI's taxonomy places the organism in Eukaryota, Metazoa, Arthropoda, Arachnida, Ixodida, Argasidae.